This 157-nucleotide ribosomal RNA is filed under the name Boodlea sp. 9 FL-2009. RNAcentral's name for it is "5.8S ribosomal RNA". It matches the Rfam family "5.8S ribosomal RNA". Rfam says of the family: 5.8S ribosomal RNA (5.8S rRNA) is a component of the large subunit of the eukaryotic ribosome. It is transcribed by RNA polymerase I as part of the 45S precursor that also contains 18S and 28S rRNA. Lineage: Eukaryota; Viridiplantae; Chlorophyta; Ulvophyceae; Cladophorales; Boodleaceae. The record is from RNAcentral.
GUACAAUGGAUUUCUCGGCUCCCACAUCGAUGAAGAACGCAGCAAAGCGCGAUAGGUAGUGUGAAUUGCAGAAUACCGUGAAUCAUCGAAUUUUUGAACGCAUAUUGCGCCCGGGUUUGAGCCUGGGCAUGUCUGCCUCAGCGUCGAUUUCCUCAUG